UUUUAUUUGAGAGUUUGAUCCUGGCUCAGGAUGAACGCUGGCGGCGUGCCUAACACAUGCAAGUUGAGCGAUUUACUUCGGUAAAGAGCGGCGGACGGGUGAGUAACGCGUGGGUAACCUACCCUGUACACACGGAUAACAUACCGAAAGGUAUGCUAAUACGGGAUAAUAUAUUUGAGAGGCAUCUCUUAAAUAUCAAAGGUGAGCCAGUACAGGAUGGACCCGCGUCUGAUUAGCUAGUUGGUAAGGUAACGGCUUACCAAGGCGACGAUCAGUAGCCGACCUGAGAGGGUGAUCGGCCACAUUGGA
This 309-nucleotide ribosomal RNA is filed under the name Clostridioides difficile. RNAcentral's name for it is "bacterial SSU rRNA". It matches the Rfam family "Bacterial small subunit ribosomal RNA", at positions 1 to 317 of the family's 1533-position model. Lineage: Bacteria; Bacillati; Bacillota; Clostridia; Peptostreptococcales; Peptostreptococcaceae. The record is from RNAcentral.